UGGGGAAUAUUGGACAAUGGGGGCAACCCUGAUCCAGCCAUGCCGCGUGAGUGAUGAAGGCCUUCGGGUUGUAAAGCUCUUUUGGCGGGGACGAUGAUGACGGUACCCGCAGAAUAAGCCCCGGCUAACUUCGUGCCAGCAGCCGCGGUAAGACGAAGGGGGCUAGCGUUGUUCGGAAUUACUGGGCGUAAAGCGAGUGUAGGCGGUUGCCGUAGUCAGGUGUGAAAGCCUUGAGCUCAACUCAAGAAAUGCACUUGAUACUGGGUGACUAGAGGACCGGAGAGGAUAGUGGAAUUCCCAGUGUAGUGGUGAAAUACGUAGAGAUUGGGAAGAACACCAGUGGCGAAGGCGGCUAUCUGGACGGUUACUGACGCUAAGACUCGAAAGCGUGGGGAGCAAACAGGAUUAGAUACCCUGGUAGUCCACGCCGUAAACGAUGGGUGCUAGACGUUGGCGAGCUUGCUCGUCAGUGUCGCAGCUAACGCGUUAAGCACCCCGCCUUGGGGAGUACGGCCGCAAGGUUGAAA
Molecule: ribosomal RNA, 527 nt
Filed under: uncultured bacterium
Lineage: Bacteria
Description: partial 16S ribosomal RNA
Rfam family: Bacterial small subunit ribosomal RNA
Source: RNAcentral